UCUGGUGCCAGCAGCCGCGGUAAUUCCAGCUCCAAUAGCGUAUAUUAAACUUGUUGCAGUUAAAAAGCUCGUAGUUGAAUUUUUGCGUGGUGUUAAUAUUGACUAAUGUCGAGAUUGCACUUCGCUUUUGGGAUUUAUCCCUUUUUACUUUGAGAAAAUUAGAGUGUUUCAAGCAGACUUUUGUCUUGAAUACUUCAGCAUGGAAUAAUAGAGUAGGACUUUGGUUCUAUUUUGUUGGUUUGUGAACCUUAGUAAUGGUUAAUAGGAACGGUUGGGGGCAUUCGUAUUUAACUGUCAGAGGUGAAAUUCUUAGAUUUGUUAAAGACGAACUACUGCGAAAGCAUUUGCCAAGGACGUUUUCAUUAAUCAAGAACGAAAGUUAGGGGAUCGAAGACGAUCAGAUACCGUCGUAGUCCUAACCAUAAACUAUGCCGACUAGGGAUUGGAGGUCGUCAUUUUUCCGACUCCUUCAGCACCUU
This 479-nucleotide ribosomal RNA is filed under the name Babesia cf. divergens. RNAcentral's name for it is "SSU rRNA". It matches the Rfam family "Eukaryotic small subunit ribosomal RNA", at positions 560 to 1089 of the family's 1831-position model. The record is from RNAcentral. Lineage: Eukaryota; Apicomplexa; Aconoidasida; Piroplasmida; Babesiidae.